Molecule: ribosomal RNA, 434 nt
Filed under: uncultured bacterium
Lineage: Bacteria
Description: partial 16S ribosomal RNA
Rfam family: Bacterial small subunit ribosomal RNA
Source: RNAcentral
GAACGAACGCUGGCGGCAUGCCUACCACAUGCAAGUCGAACGAGACCUUCGGGUCUAGUGGCGCACGGGUGCGUAACGCGUGGGAACCUGCCCUUAGGUUCGGAAUAACUCCCCGAAAGGGGUGCUAAUACCGGAUAAUGUCUUCGGACCAAAGAUUUAUCGCCUUUGGAUGGGCCCGCGUUGGAUUAGCUAGUUGGUAGGGUAAAAGCCUACCAAGGCGACGAUCCAUAGCUGGUCUGAGAGGAUGAUCAGCCACACUGGGACUGAGACACGGCCCAGACUCCUACGGGAGGCAGCAGUGGGGAAUAUUGGACAAUGGGCGAAAGCCUGAUCCAGCAAUGCCGCGUGAGUGAUGAAGGCCUUAGGGUUGUAAAGCUCUUUUACCCGGGAUGAUAAUGACAGUACCGGGAGAAUAAGCUCCGGCCAACUCCGUG